GAGAAAUACCGGGAGCCCAGAAGAAACAGAAAAAAAAAAAAUCCAAAACAAAAACAAAAAACCAAACCAAACAAAAACCCUGAGCUUCUCAGUAUUCGCCAGAGUGCUGAAAAAUACUGAUAAUGAUGCGGAAUGCCUGCGUGAAAACAAAAACAAACCAAAAAUGCAAACCGAGACAAACCCAAAAAAGCAAACUUUGGUUUGUCUAACUCCUGAGACAUCGGGCUUCGUUAAGCAGCUUGGAAGGCAACACAAAUCUAUGACCCUUCUUUCUUUUAUUUAUUUAUUUUUGUUAUUAUUUCAAAAAACAAUGGCCUAAGAGCAGUACAUUGCACUUGGUGAACCCGCACUUUCAUACCAGGGGAACACUUAAAGUGCAUAUGAGAAGAGAAGAGAAUGACCACAGGAGAAAAUCAUCUCAGAACCAAUCACUGCCAGGGACCCUGUAGCUGCCUACUUGCCUGGAACCCAGGGCAACAACAGGAUAACUGGGAGGAGUCCCAAUAAGGCUCCAUUAUUGAUGGUGUCACAGAAGCCCCUGAUCUGAAUAUUUGCCAAUGAAGAUAUGUGGACAGAAAUAUACUGUGGGACACACUGUGACAUGCUACUGCUUUCCACGGCCUCUCCAUUGUUCCUCUGAACAGGCACUUUCUUAAGCUGUUCGUUCAGAUGCGUACAAA
RNAcentral lists this long non-coding RNA (680 nucleotides) under Mus musculus (house mouse). RNAcentral's name for it is "Mir99a and Mirlet7c-1 host gene". The record is from RNAcentral. Lineage: Eukaryota; Metazoa; Chordata; Mammalia; Rodentia; Muridae.